Molecule: ribosomal RNA, 254 nt
Filed under: uncultured bacterium
Lineage: Bacteria
Description: partial 16S ribosomal RNA
Rfam family: Bacterial small subunit ribosomal RNA
Source: RNAcentral
UACGGAGGGUGCAAGCGUUGUCCGGAUUUAUUGGGUUUAAAGGGUGCGUAGGCGGCUUCUUAAGUCAGUGGUGAAAUACUGCAGCUCAACUGUUAGAACUGCCAUUGAUACUGGGAAGCUUGAGUACAGACGAGGUAGGCGGAAUUGACAGUGUAGCGGUGAAAUGCUUAGAUAUUGUCAAGAACACCUAUUGCGAAGGCAGCUUACUAGACUGUAACUGACGCUGAGGCACGAAAGCGUGGGGAUCAAACAGG